RNAcentral lists this ribosomal RNA (2004 nucleotides) under Triticum aestivum (bread wheat). Its description in RNAcentral is "partial small subunit ribosomal RNA". The record is from RNAcentral. Lineage: Eukaryota; Viridiplantae; Streptophyta; Magnoliopsida; Poales; Poaceae.
AUGUGGAGGCUGAAGGUGGGGGAGGGGGGAAGCGCUCUGCUGCGGACGAGGAACAACUUCCUCGGCAGGGAGGUGUGGGAGUUCGACCCCGACGCGGGCACGCCGGAGGAGCGCGCCCAAGUGGAGAGGCUGCGCCGCGAGUUUACCGAGCAUCGCUUCCACAGGCCCAGGGAGUCCGACGACCUCCUCAUGCGCAUGCAGUAUGUGAAGCAAAAUGGUCCUGAAGCAAUUCUUCCAGUUACAAAGCUUAAAAACUAUGGAGAAGUCAUGGAAGACAUUAUUUUAGAUGCACUAAGACGAGUUCUUAUUACAUACUCCACUUUGCAAGCACAUGAUGGACAUUGGCCUGGCGGUUUCAGUGGGAUUCUUUUCAUCAUGCCUCUCAUGAUAUUUGCUUUAUAUGUCACCGGAUCACUCCAUAUGGUCAUAUCACCAGAGCAUAUACGUGAGAUAUGUCGUUACAUUUACAACAUCCAGAAUGAAGAUGGUGGGUGGAGCACACAUAUUUUGGGUCCAAGCUCCAUGUUUGGCUCUUGUGUAAACUAUGUAACAUUAAGGAUCCUUGGCGAGGAGCUUGAUGGCAAUGAGGCAUUAUACAAAGGGCGUGCAUGGAUUUUAUCUCAUGGUAGUGCAACUGCAUCACCACAAUGGGCAAAGAUAUGGCUCUCGGUAAUUGGAAUGUAUGAUUGGUCUGGGAAUAAUCCAGUUAUUCCAGAACUAUGGUCGGUUCCACACCUUCUUCCAAUUCAUCCAGGAAAAUUUUGGUGCUUUUGUCGGAUGGUUUAUAUGCCAAUGGCUUAUAUUUAUGGGAAAAAAUUUGUUGGCCCCAUUACUCCAACGAUACUAGCACUAAGAGAUGAGCUCUAUAAUAAACCAUACAGUGAGAUCAAUUGGAACAUGGCUCGUAGUUCGUGUGCCAAGGUAUUAAAUAUGAUUUGUUGUUGGAUAGAGGACCCCAAUUCCUAUGCAUUCAAACGACAUCUUCCAAGAAUUCAUGAUUUCUUAUGGAUUUCAGAAGAUGGAAUGAAGGCAAAGGUGUAUGUUGGCUGCCAGAGCUGGGAGACAGCACUUAUAGCUCAAGCCUUUUGCUCAACCAAACUUGCCAAAGAAUUUGCUCCAGUUCUUCGAAAAGCCCAUGGGUUUCUAAAAGCAGCACAGGUUACUCAGAAUUUUCCUACUUACAACAGUUAUUACCGUGAAAGGUCAAAAGGAGCAUGGACUCUCUCAAAUGGAGAGAAUGGUUGGCCUAUCGCUGACACUACUGCGGAAGCGAUUAAGGCAUUACUAUUACUAUCAAAAUAUUCUCCAAGCCUUGUUGGAGACCCAAUUGAAGAACAAAGAUUCUACGACGCUGUUGAUUGCCUUCUUUCUUAUGUGAACAAAGAUGGAACGCUUUCUUCGGCAGAAUGUAAAAGAACGACUCCAUGGGUAGAGAUUCUGAAUCCUUCGGAGAGUUUUCGAAACAUCAUCGUUGACUACCCCUAUGUUGAAUGCACCUCAUCCUUAGUUCAAGCUCUAAUAUUGUUCAGAAACUCGUACCCUGAGUACCGUUGUGAAGAGAUAGAAGAAUGCAUCAAGAAAGGGACAUUAUUCAUCGAGAAACAACAACGAACCGAUGGCUCAUGGUAUGGUACUUGGGGUGUGUGCUUCACUUAUGCAUCCUUCUUUGCCACAAAAGGACUAGUUGCUGCUGGAAGAACAUACGAGAAUAGUGUUACCAUUAGGAAGGCAUGCAGCUUCUUGCUGGCAAAGCAGCUCAGUUCAGGUGGAUGGGGGGAGAACUAUCUUGGUUGCGAGACUGAGGUUGAAAGAGAUCCCACACCAAUGUAUCGUGCUGCAAAAGAAUUGAUAAACUUGCAAACUGAGAGAGGAGAAUUUCCCCAGCAAGAAACUGUUGGAAACUUCAAUUCGUCUCUUUAUUUCAACUAUAGCAACUACCGCAACUUGUUUCCUAUUUGGGCUCUUGGAGAGUUUCACCGCCGACUUGUGGGCAACAAGAACUGA